RNAcentral lists this ribosomal RNA (378 nucleotides) under uncultured bacterium. RNAcentral describes it as "bacterial SSU rRNA". It matches the Rfam family "Bacterial small subunit ribosomal RNA", at positions 790 to 1167 of the family's 1533-position model. The record is from RNAcentral.
GUAGUCCUAGCCGUAAACGAUGCAUACUAGAGGUAGGAGGGCUCAACCCUUUCUGUCUCGGAGCUAACGCGUUAAGUAUGCCACCUGGGGAGUACGCUCGCAAGGGUGAAACUCAAAAGAAUUGACGGGGGCCCGCACAAGCAGUGGAGCAUGUGGUUUAAUUCGAUGCAACGCGAAGAACCUUACCUGGGCUCGAAAUGUAGAGGACUAUGCAAGAGAUUGCAUAUCCCGAAAGGGUCUCUAUAUAGGUGCUGCAUGGCUGUCGUCAGCUCGUGCCGUGAGGUGUUUGGUUAAGUCCAGCAACGAGCGCAACCCUUAUCGUUAGUUGCCAGCGCGUAAAGGCGGGAACUCUAACGAGACUGCCUAGGUUAACUAGGA